GCAUCAGUAGCUCAGCUUAGAGCACCAGUCUUGUAAGCUGGGGGUCGGGGGUUAAAAUCCCCCCUUUUGUU
Molecule: transfer RNA, 71 nt
Filed under: Priacanthus macracanthus (red bigeye)
Lineage: Eukaryota; Metazoa; Chordata; Actinopteri; Priacanthiformes; Priacanthidae
Description: tRNA-Thr
Rfam family: tRNA
About the family: Transfer RNA (tRNA) molecules are approximately 80 nucleotides in length. Their secondary structure includes four short double-helical elements and three loops (D, anti-codon, and T loops).
Source: RNAcentral